Molecule: small nuclear RNA, 127 nt
Organism: Oryctolagus cuniculus (rabbit)
Lineage: Eukaryota; Metazoa; Chordata; Mammalia; Lagomorpha; Leporidae
Source: Ensembl
GUGUUGUAUGAAAGGAAAGAGGGUUAGUACUCCCCUUGACAAGGCUGAAGAGACCCUUGGGGCUGACAACACACGUACAGUUAAGGAGAGCCACUGCCUGGUGGCCACUGAAGCCCUGCUGAUUUCU